Molecule: ribosomal RNA, 253 nt
Filed under: uncultured bacterium
Lineage: Bacteria
Description: partial 16S ribosomal RNA
Rfam family: Bacterial small subunit ribosomal RNA
Source: RNAcentral
GACGUAGGGGGCGAGCGUUGUCCGGAUUUAUUGGGCGUAAAGCGCGCGCAGGCGGCUCGUUAAGUCGGAUGUGAAAACACGAGGCUCAACCUCGUGCCUGCAUUCGAUACUGGCGAGCUCGAGGCAGGUAGGGGAGAUCGGAAUUCCCGGUGUAGCGGUGAAAUGCGCAGAUAUCGGGAGGAACACCGGUGGCGAAGGCGGAUCUCUGGGCCUGUCCUGACGCUCAGGCGCGAAAGCUGGGGGAGCGAACAGG